This is a transfer RNA of Selaginella moellendorffii, 85 nucleotides long. It matches the Rfam family "tRNA". Rfam says of the family: Transfer RNA (tRNA) molecules are approximately 80 nucleotides in length. Their secondary structure includes four short double-helical elements and three loops (D, anti-codon, and T loops). The record is from Rfam. NCBI's taxonomy places the organism in Eukaryota, Viridiplantae, Streptophyta, Lycopodiopsida, Selaginellales, Selaginellaceae.
CCGAUCGUAGCUCAGUUGGUGGAGCGGAGGACUGUAGUGCUCUUCAGAUAUCCUUAGGUCGCUGGUUCGAUUCCGGCAGAUCGCA